RNAcentral lists this ribosomal RNA (497 nucleotides) under uncultured bacterium. RNAcentral's name for it is "partial 16S ribosomal RNA". It matches the Rfam family "Bacterial small subunit ribosomal RNA", at positions 28 to 507 of the family's 1533-position model. The record is from RNAcentral.
GACGAACGCUGGCGGCGUGCCUAAUACAUGCAAGUAGAACGCUGAAGAGAGGAGCUUGCUCUUCUUGGAUGAGUUGCGAACGGGUGAGUAACGCGUAGGUAACCUGCCUUGUAGCGGGGGAUAACUAUUGGAAACGAUAGCUAAUACCGCAUAACAAUGGAUGACACAUGCCAUUUAUUUGAAAGGGGCAAUUGCUCCACUACAAGAUGGACCUGCGUUGUAUUAGCUAGUAGGUGAGGUAAUGGCUCACCUAGGCGACGAUACAUAGCCGACCUGAGAGGGUGGUCGGCCACACUGGGACUGAGACACGGCCCAGACUCCUACGGGAGGCAGCAGUAGGGAAUCUUCGGCAAUGGGGGCAACCCUGACCGAGCAACGCCGCGUGAGUGAAGAAGGUUUUCGGAUCGUAAAGCUCUGUUGUAAGUCAAGAACGGGUGUGAGAGUGGAAAGUUCACACUGUGACGGUAGCUUACCAGAAAGGGACGGCUAACUACGUG